GACGAACGCUGGCGGCGUGCUUAACACAUGCAAGUCGAACGUGAUUUUUGUGGAAAUUCUUUCGGGAAUGGAAAUGAAAUGGAAGUGGCGAACGGGUGAGUAACACGUGAGCAACCUACCUUACACAGGGGGAUAGCCGUUGGAAACGACGAUUAAUACCGCAUGAGACCACAGAAUCGCAUGAUAUAGGGGUCAAAGAUUUAUCGGUGUAAGAAGGGCUCGCGUCUGAUUAGCUAGUUGGAAGGGUAAAGGCCUACCAAGGCGACGAUCAGUAGCCGGUCUGAGAGGAUGAACGGCCACAUUGGAACUGAGACACGGUCCAAACUCCUACGGGAGGCAGCAGUGGGGAAUAUUGCACAAUGGGGGGAACCCUGAUGCAGCGACGCCGCGUGAGCGAAGAAGGUUUUCGAAUCGUAAAGCUCUGUCCUAUGAGAAGAUAAUGACGGUAUCAUAGGAGGAAGCCCCGGCUAAAUACGUG
Molecule: ribosomal RNA, 478 nt
Filed under: uncultured bacterium
Lineage: Bacteria
Description: partial 16S ribosomal RNA
Rfam family: Bacterial small subunit ribosomal RNA
Source: RNAcentral